This 115-nucleotide ribosomal RNA is filed under the name Aspergillus niger. The record is from RNAcentral. Lineage: Eukaryota; Fungi; Ascomycota; Eurotiomycetes; Eurotiales; Aspergillaceae.
AUACGACCACAGGGUGUGGAAAACAGGGCUUCCCGUCCGCUCAGCCGUACUUAAGCCACACGCCGGGAGGUUAGUAGUUGGGUGGGUGACCACCAGCGAAUCCCUUCUGUUGUAU